AGUGGAAUAGCUAGGUUAUAUAGUGACUCCAUUUCUAGUUUUUUUGAGGAACCUCCAUAUUGCUUUAAAAAAAUGGCUGUACUAAUUUGUCGUCCUACCAACAAU
This 105-nucleotide microRNA precursor is filed under the name Marmota monax (woodchuck). Lineage: Eukaryota; Metazoa; Chordata; Mammalia; Rodentia; Sciuridae. The record is from RNAcentral.